GACAGAUGGGGCUGGUUUUCACCUGGCCAAAUGGGUGAUAGCGAGAUGGUAACAGACUCAAAAUGAAGCCAGUGGACUUAUCGCACUGUUAACGACUGUUGUAUGGGCUGUUUCAGGGCAGAAAAGUAUUUGAUGGAGCCAAGUGAGAAUUCCCACCUACAAUCAAUCAUAGUUUGAUUUAUAAAAUUAUUGAAGAUAUGCAGAAAGAUCGUUUCGCUGUGCAGGGUUAAGUGAUGUGAAAUGCAUGAG
Molecule: long non-coding RNA, 249 nt
Organism: Carcharodon carcharias (great white shark)
Lineage: Eukaryota; Metazoa; Chordata; Chondrichthyes; Lamniformes; Lamnidae
Exons: 3
Source: RefSeq, a predicted model, not a curated record